UAGUCCACACUGUAAACGAUGGAUACUAGGUAUUGGGGGAGUCAAUCCCUCCAGUGCCGACGCUAACGCAUUAAGUAUCCCGCCUGGGGAGUACGGUCGCAAGGCUGAAACUCAAAGAAAUUGACGGGGGCCCGCACAAGCGGUGGAGCAUGUGGUUUAAUUCGAUGAUACGCGAAGAACCUUACCUGGGUUUGACAUGGAAGUGACCGGUGCAGAGAUGUACUUUUUUCUUCGGAAACACUUCACACAGGUGCUGCAUGGUUGUCGUCAGCUCGUGUCGUGAGAUGUUGGGUUAAGUCCCGCAACGAGCGCAACCCUUGUCCAGUGUUACCAGCGGAUAAUGCCGGGGACUCACUGGAGACUGCCUCAUUUUUGAGGAGGAAGGUGGGGAUGACGUCAAAUCAUCAUGGCCCUUACGCCCAGGGCUACACACGUGCUACAAUGGAUGGUACAGAGGGUCGCAAUACUGCAAAGUGGAGCUAAUCUCAAAAAACCAUUCUCAGUUCGGA
This 509-nucleotide ribosomal RNA is filed under the name uncultured bacterium. RNAcentral's name for it is "bacterial SSU rRNA". It matches the Rfam family "Bacterial small subunit ribosomal RNA", at positions 791 to 1297 of the family's 1533-position model. The record is from RNAcentral.